This 1548-nucleotide ribosomal RNA is filed under the name Glomus sp. 1 SL-2017. Its description in RNAcentral is "eukaryotic LSU rRNA". The stretch from base 732 to 1548 matches the Rfam family "Eukaryotic large subunit ribosomal RNA", at positions 1 to 673 of the family's 3401-position model. The record is from RNAcentral. Lineage: Eukaryota; Fungi; Glomeromycota; Glomeromycetes; Glomerales; Glomeraceae.
CCUAGUAAGCACAAGUCAUCAGCUUGUGCUGAUUACGUCCCUGCCCUUUGUACACACCGCCCGUCGCUACUACCGAUUGAAUGGCUUAGUGAGACCCUCGGAUCGACGUUCAUCGGCUGUAAAAGGCCUUUGUCUGUUGAAAAGUUGGUCAAACUUGGUCAUUUAGAGGAAGUAAAAGUCGUAACAAGGUUUCCGUAGGUGAACCUGCGGAAGGAUCAUUAUUGUACUUAAGGUCACCAAUUUUUCAGAAAGAUUGGUGAUCAUCAGUACAUUUGUUAUUGAUCCUAUUUUAAAUAGGAGCAAAAAGUAUAUUUAAAACCCCCACACUUUUAAAAAUUAUUAUGUAUAUUUUACUGUAAGUAAAUUAUAAGAUCACUUUCAACAACGGAUCUCUUGGCUCUCGCAUCGAUGAAGAACGUAGCGAAGUGCGAUAAGUAGUGUGAAUUGCAGAAUUCCGUGGAUCAUCGAAUUUUUGAACGCAAAUUGCACUCUCUGGUAUUCCGGAGAGUAUGCCUGUUUGAGGGUCAUUAAAAUCAAAAUCGAUUUUGUUUACCUUGCCGUAACAAGUCGGAAUUGGGCUAUCUUAAACCUUCGGGUUCAAGAGGCUUAAAAUUGAUCGUUUUUGGUACGAGUUAAGCGUAUUUAAGAUCUCUUAUCACGCGCUUGAUGAGUAUCGGAUGUUUAUUAGGCAUGACCAUGUAUGGCUUCGCGCCUAUAAUUUUUUCAUGAAAUGACCUCAAAUCAGGUAAGAAUACCCGCUGAACUUAAGCAUAUCAAUAAGCGGAGGAAAAGAAAAUAACAAUGAUUCCCCUAGUAACGGCGAGCGAAGAGGGAAUAGCUCAAAUUUUAAAUCUGUUGGGUUUUACCUAACCGAGUUGUAAUUUGAAGAAACGUUUUCAGCGUGUUUGAUUUAGCCCAAAUCCUUUGGGAUAAGGUAUCAUGGAGGGUGAGAAUCCCGUCCGGCCUAAUCAAAUGUGCUUUACGAUACAUUUUCUAAGAGUCGAGUUGUUUGGGAUUGCAGCUCAAAAUGGGAGGUAAAUUUCUCCUAAGGCUAAAUACAGGCGAGAGACCGAUAGCGAACAAGUACCGUGAGGGAAAGAUGAAAAGAACUUUGAAAAGAGAGUUAAACAGUACGUGAAAUUGUUGAAAGGGAAACGAUUAAAGUCAGUCGUACUAACGGGGAAUCAGCCUUUUGAGGGUGGACUUGUGUGAUUCAGAGUGCCUCUGUCUUUCACAACCUGCUUUUUUUGGGUGUACUUUCUCGUAUUGUAGGUCAACAUCGGUUUCAACCGUUAUAAAAUGACUGGAGGAAUGUAGCUUCGAUCUCGUAUUGAAGUGUUAUAGCCUUUGGUAGAUGUAACGGAUGGGAUCGAGGAUUGCAAUGAAUACCCUUAUGGGCUAUCCGCCUGGCCUCUGACAUGUCGCUAUGGUGCUGAAAGCGUGCUUAUGGUAUUAUAGUGUACGGUCAAAAGGUUAGAACGGAUUAAAUUUGUUAAGGAUGUUGACGUAAUGGCUUUAAACGACCCGUCUUGAACACGGACCAAGGAG